UGUCGGUAAAACUCGUGCCAGCAACCGCGGUUAUACGAAAGGCCUAAGUUGAUGAAAUACGGCGCAAAGAGUGGUUAGGAUCCUAUCCAAUUAAAGCUAAACCCCCUCCUGGUUGUUUCAAGCCUAUGAGACCCUGAAACACAACUACGAAAGUGACUUUAUAUUCCUGAUUCCACGAAAGCUAGGAAACAAACUGGGAUUAGAUACCCCACUAUGA
RNAcentral lists this ribosomal RNA (217 nucleotides) under Cynoglossus lingua (long tongue sole). RNAcentral describes it as "partial 12S ribosomal RNA". The record is from RNAcentral. Lineage: Eukaryota; Metazoa; Chordata; Actinopteri; Pleuronectiformes; Cynoglossidae.